UGCCUGUCCACAACGAGACUUGAUUCCUUCUGCCUCUUGCAUGACGUAAGCACGUUGGCAUGUUAAAAUGAAAGCAAAGCCAAUGAAGUUUGUGAGCAGCGUUCUCUUGUAAACAAAUCGAGCUGCACUUCCGGUUGUAUCGCAUCAGUUCUCGCAUGAACAUGCCAACGUUCUUACAUCAUGCGAGAGGCAGAGGGAACUGAGUUCCGUUGUGGACAGGCAUCGGAGAGCGACCAGAAGUAAACAAUUAUAGUGAAAAGGACUUAAAUAUUGAUCCGUUUCUCACCCAAAGCGAUCGUUUCACUUUAGAAGACAUUCAUUUAACCACUGGAGUCAUAUGGAUUACUUUUACUACGAUUGUCUGUGCUUUUUGGAGUUUUAAAGUUCUAAUCACCAUUCACUUGAAUUAUAUGGACCUACACAGCUGAAAUAUUCUUCUAAAAAUCACAUUUGGGAUGGCAUGAGGACCCCGGAGACUGGGCAGCUGACCUCAACCCGGCACUGAGCUGCACCCACCACUGCCUCCAAGCCAAGGGUGCUCAGCCAGCCUCCCUGCUAUCAUCUCCUGGGGAAAUACCUCUCACUCCAUCUGGGUGCUCAUCGACUCAGGGGCCGAAGGGAAUUUGAUGGACCCAGAUAUGGCAGCCCGUUGGGGUAUUCCAGUGCUUCCUGUGGACCCUCACAUCCCCACUCACUCCCUCACUGGGGCGUUGCUGUUUACUAUCACUCAAGCCACGGUCCAGGCAGAGCCGGUCAAUCUGUCCAGAGUUCCCGUAGUGUACCAUGACCUGGGGGCAGUGUUCAGUCGGUUCCUCCGCACCACCCGUACGACUGUGCCAUUGAUCUCCUCCUGGGCACUUCUCCGCCUCGAGGACGGCUCUACUCCCUGACACCUACUAAACGGGAGGCCAUGGACAAGUACAUAACCCAGUCGUUGUGCCUCCCCUCUGUUUCCCCCAGACCCCGGAGACUCGGCAGCUGAACUUGCCCUGGCGCUACGUCCACCACUGCCUCCAAGCCAAGGGUGCUCAGCCACUCCUGGACUGCUCCUUAGUUUUUUGUUUUUUGUUUAAAAUAAACCGUUUGAG
Myxocyprinus asiaticus (Chinese sucker) is the source of this 1088-nucleotide long non-coding RNA. RefSeq lists it as uncharacterized. The record is from RefSeq and is a predicted model, not a curated record. The transcript has 5 exons. NCBI's taxonomy places the organism in Eukaryota, Metazoa, Chordata, Actinopteri, Cypriniformes, Catostomidae.